RNAcentral lists this small RNA (464 nucleotides) under Arabidopsis thaliana (thale cress). Its description in RNAcentral is "ATSL288380". Lineage: Eukaryota; Viridiplantae; Streptophyta; Magnoliopsida; Brassicales; Brassicaceae. The record is from RNAcentral.
AACAAGAAUAUGAAUCACAAAAAAAUUACAAAAACAUAGAGUACUAGAUUUUAACCCGCGGAGGCAAUUCAUUUUUUAAAAUUAAUAUAUAUAUAUAUAUAUAAUUUGUAAAUUAUUUUAUAGUUUACAAUUGUUACUAAGUAACGUUCUGCCAAACCCGUCCCGCCAAACCGUCCACAAAAAAAAUUAUUUAUUUUAUUAAUGUUGAUCUUAUUUAUAAUAUGUUUAUGAAUCAUUGUCAAAAGAUUUUAUUCGUUGCGGGAUGUUGAACCCACACAUUUUUCGUCAAUUAGUUAAUAUAUGUUCAUUCUUAAAAUUUCGAAUCACAAAAUAUGACGAAUUUUGUGUUGAGAUUUUUUAAACUCUAUAUAUUAUAUAAUGAUGUUAAGUUUUUUUGAUAUAUUAAACUUUUUAUAAAUUUAAAUAUUAUUAAUGUUUUAUGAAUUUUAAAUAUAUAAAUAAGA